RNAcentral lists this ribosomal RNA (386 nucleotides) under uncultured bacterium. Its description in RNAcentral is "bacterial SSU rRNA". It matches the Rfam family "Bacterial small subunit ribosomal RNA", at positions 30 to 417 of the family's 1533-position model. The record is from RNAcentral.
AUUGAACGCUGGCGGCAUGCCUUACACAUGCAAGUCGAACGGCAGCACGGGAGCAAUCCUGGUGGCGAGUGGCGAACGGGUGAGUAAUAUAUCGGAACGUGCCCAGUCUGGGGGAUAACGUAGCGAAAGCUACGCUAAUACCGCAUACGAUCUAUGGAUGAAAGCGGGGGAUCGCAAGACCUCGCGCGAUUGGAGCGGCCGAUAUCAGAUUAGGUAGUUGGUGAGGUAAAGGCUCACCAAGCCGACGAUCUGUAGCUGGUCUGAGAGGACGACCAGCCACACUGGGACUGAGACACGGCCCAGACUCCUACGGGAGGCAGCAGUGGGGAAUUUUGGACAAUGGGCGCAAGCCUGAUCCAGCAAUGCCGCGUGCAGGAUGAAGGCCU